CAGAGUACAGUCAAUUUUAUUUCAUAAUCAGAUAACACAAUAUCUCACAAUAUCACAAAGAAAAAGCAGCUAGCCUCAUUUUUCCCAAACAUGGAGAACUAAAGUUAAUCACUGGACCAGUUCACAUGAAAAUGCUAACAAUCAUUUCCAAUGCCUAGGAAAGUUAACAAAAACUUAUAAGAGUAAAACAAUCACCGACAUUCACUAAAGAGGUGUUUUUGGAUUCAAUCACAUUAACUUGAUGCACUUUUAUUAUUAAAACUUGGCAAUAGUAGAAUUAGAGUGAACAAACCAACAUCUAAAUUGACAUCACCAGGUAGGAGCCUUAUAAAUAAAAAUCUGCUCGACUAAAGUUAACUUUUAUAAAUAGUGGUAAGUAGAGUCGAAUCCACAGGGAUUGGGUGUAACUGUGUCUUUUCAAAUUCACAAUAACAAAGGGGGUGUUUUUGUGCAGAAGGUGACAAUCGAAAAAAUUCAAACAAGAAUAAAAAUAAAUAGCUAGUUAGAAAUUAAAUGACAAUUUACUAAAGUCAAAUGAAUGAUAACUAAUGAUCUAGCCAAGAAAUAACUUCAGCAAUGGUUCACCUAAUUGAUCAUCGAUGCAAAGUCAAUUCCAAUUAUUUACUAAUAAAUAAGUUAUAACUGUCAAACAAGCGAUGAUAGUUAACCCCUCCUUACUGUGUCGGUGAUUAAGGUACACCUGUUAAUUACUGAUCUAAUUGAGAAAUAAUCCUAAGUACGCCCGUAAGAUUUAAUUCCCCAAUUGCUUUACGUAUUAGAAGAGCCAUAUUUUAACCAAAUAACACACUACCAGGGUUAUUUUAGAUUAGUCCGCGUAUCCCCCUGACACAAAUCUAAUCGUGCCAGUUGUCACUAAUUCAAGGCAAUUAAACAAUUAUGGAUUUAAUGCCCUAAUUGACAAUAGAUUACCAAAUCAAUUAAUUAUCUAGAUCUAAGACAAUCAAUUAAUUAAAUAAUCAUAAAUACUGCAAUCAAGGGAUAUGCGAAUACCAAUAAAUAAAAGAAAAAGAUAAAAUUAAACCGAUCUCACAAGUUUUAGGCGAACCAGAACCUCCGUUGUCCCUUGACUAGAGUGGAUAAAUUAGUUCAUAUUUAAUGUGAAAAACCCACACACAAUUGAAGAGAAAGCAGCGGCCAUCAUACUGUGAAACUUGGAAAAUUCAACCCGUCCGAAUAUUGAAUAGAUAGUAAAGCUACAAAAGGUGAUUGAUAGUUUUUCCUUCGUCUGACACACAAGAAGGAAAAGAUGCUACUUAAGACUCUAAGGGAAGAAAAGUCAAAGUUCUAAGCUACACUCUCAUACAAAAAACUAAGGAAAAAGCCAGGUAGUGGCUCCCCCUCAAUUCCUAUUCUAUCUAAUUACUCACUAAAAACUCCCCUCCCUAGCCGCGGCUCCCACCAGGAAGAAGAGGACCUUCAGCCGUCUUUCCUUCUCAAAAUUUACCAGAAUGGGCGUAACACCUUCUUUUUCAAAAAUGCCCCUGAGAUAAGCUCUAUCAUCUACACUCCUUUUUUUGCCAAAUUAGCACCUGUUAUCAUAUUUUCAUUCUACUUCCUGAAAUAAAUGUAAAAUACUAAAAGUGAGUAGAAUCCAGCAAUUAAUCCAUAUGGGAUCAGGUAAUAGGGAAAAUUAAUAAUAAAAUAAAUGAUAAAAUCGCACCCUAUCAAUUCCCCCCAAUUAUAUGCUAAAUUUGGUAAUAGAAGUGCAGAAAAUUAGCAAUAGCAACACAGUCACAAGGUCAAGGCAGUUGAUCAAAUAUCCAACCAACAAGAGUUAACAAAUUCAGGGAAAAACACUCCAGCUAGUACCACUGGAGGAAAAUGGAAUGCACAAUUCAACUAACCGAAAUUGUAGCAACAGUCCCAGGAAAUAACAAUUCAAGCAAUAAUAACCCUCAAAUCUGACAGUAGCAGAGUAAUUCUAAGUACCCAGCCUCCAACAGUCAACCAAUAGAGUAGAAUUAACCCAGUAAAGUUAAAAUUCCCAAACAGUGGAUGAAACAAGUUUAACGGCCAACCCACACUAGUGAGAACCCCAUAUAACGUAACUCAAUUCAGACAAGUAGUAAUGUAGCCACAGGAUUCACAGGCGAAGCUAAUAAGGAACCCAGCAACAAAUGGUCCAAUUAAAUAGGCGAGUAUGAAGAAACAGGGGGGUACCUCCACCGUUGUGUGGAAAAGGAGGCCGUGGGUGAAGGGAAGAUGGCAGGCAGCAGCGCGGCAAUGGAGACGGCGCGUGGGCUGUCGAUUGCGAUGGAGGGUGAGAGGAGUUCGGAGUGGCGGGGAUCAUGAGAGGUGGACUGCGGUGACGCGCGGAGCUGCGGGCGGCGCAGUCGCAACCGUGGGGAGACGCGACCGCGCGAGGUGAGCGUUGGCUACUGGUGGCGCGGGAGCUCAGGAGGAGCUGCGUGCGAUAGAAAAGGAGCCGCAGCGCUCGGCUGUUGGCUGCGCGCUCGAUGGGUUGAUGGAGGAGAGAAGAGCGCGGUGGCUUGGCGAUGGAGAGAAGGGUUGUAGCUCCGUCGGUGGCUUGCGAUGGAGCUAUGGUGGCCGCUAGGAGCUUGGGAGCCACGGCUACGCGUGUCAUCGUGCAACGUUGUUCACGGGUGACAGUCGCAUGGGGUAGGUCGCGACUGGUGGUGGCCGCUUGAGAGAGAGCUGGUGAGCGAGAUGCGGCAAGGGAAGGGCGGCGGUGUGCGAUGCAAAGAGCCUCGGUCGAACAGGAGGAAGAAGCAACGGGGAAGAAAGAAAGAAAGGAAAAGAAAAUAUGUUGUUUUUUUUUUGUGUUGUGGUUUCUUUUGUAUUUCAAUUUUUUCGAUUUUUUUCUUUUCUUUUUUUUUUUAAUUUUAUUAUUUAUUAUUUAUUUUAUUUUUUAAAUUUAUUUUUCUUUUUAAAUUUUUUUAAGUUAAAUCUCUUUUUUUUUUACAAAUAAUAAUUUUUCCUUUUUUUUAUCUGAAUAUUAUUAUUAUUACAUAACUUAUUUUCAAAAUUAAAAAUUAGAGACUAACAGAAAAUCAAUAAUAGUUCUUGAGUUCUUUUGAAUACUUACCUUUCCCGCGCACAUGACGUGGGCACGUCAAGAAAGCACAGAAUGAGAAGCUCUGCAGGUUACUUGACGCGGGCACGUCAUGAGGACAAGAGAGUUCUCUGACCAUGAGCUCUCCAUGGGACUUGACGCAGGCACGUCAAGAGGACAAGAAAGCUCUCUGACCAUGAGCUCUUCAUGGGACUUGACGCGGGCACGUCAAGAGGAUCGAAACCCUUUUUACUAAGCAUCAGGAAAUUGCAAUGUGCCACGCGCCCAGUUGACACGGGUGCGUCAUGUCAGAGGGAUGCCUAUGAAUCAUCAAAAAUGAAAAUUAAACCAAAAAAUCAGUCAAAUCCAAGGAAAAAUAUAUUUAAAAUAUCAAACAAAAUCGAAAAAAUAACUAAGAAAAAUUGGGUUGCCUCCUAAUGAUCGUCUUUCUUUAAUGUCUUUGGCUAGACAUGGUAAGGUGGCAUUAAUUGGCACACGGCGGUGCAUCUAGACUUAUCGUCUCUACUUUUCUACUUGAAAAACCUUCGUGAUAAUACUUGAGACGAUGUCCAUUCACCACAAACUUAUUGUUGGUUUUAGCAUUCUGAAUUUCAAUUGUACCAUAUGGAAAGACGUGAGUAAUAAUAAAAGGUUCAAUCCAACGGGAACGUAGCUUACCUGGGAAGAAUUUGAGUCUGGAUUGGUACAGGAGAACUUUCUGACUAAGUUCAAAGGUUUUUUCUAGAGAUUUGCUGGUCAUGAAAUGCUCGGCUCCUCUCCUUGUAAAUCAAUGCAUUCUCGUACGUUUCGUUCCGGAUCUCCUCCAAUUCCUGCAAAUCCAAUUUCCGUUGGGUACCAGCCUCCUCUAGGUUCAUAUUACAUUGUUUAAUCGCCCAAAAAGCUUUGUGCUCGAACUCCACUGAUAGGUGACACGGCUUUCCAAAUACCAAUCUAUAGGGUGACAUCCCUAUGGGGGUUUUGUACGCCGUUCGAUAGGUCCAAAGUGCAUCUUCCAACCUUUGACUGCAAUCUUUCCUAUCGGGGCGCACCAUUUUCUCCAAAAUAGAUUUAAUUUCUCGAUUCGAUACCUCCGCUUGACCAUUGGUCAGCGGGUGGUACGAUGUUGAGAUCCUGUGGAAUACACCGUACUUGCGAAACAGCGCGGCUAUGGUUUUGUUGCAGAAAUACGUCCCCCUGUCACUAACAAUAACUCUCGGCAUUCCACAACCCACAAAAAUAUUAGACUUGAUAAAAUCUGCAACCACUUUCGAAUCAUUAGUCCGGGUAACCUUAACCUCCACCCAUUUAGACACAUAAUCAACUGCCAGCAAUAUAUGUAUAAAAUAAAAUGAAGUAGGAAAAGGCUCCAUGAAAUCUAUAUCUCAGACAUCAAAAAUUUCGACAAAAAUCAACGGGACUUGGGGCAUCUGAUCUCUACGAGCUACAUUACCUACCCUUUGACAGCGAUCACACGACUUACAAAACACAUAAGCAUCCUUAAACAAUGAAGGCCAAUAAAAUCCACUUUCCAAUACCUUAUGAGCAGUUUUCUUGGGUCCAAAAUGACCUCCACAGGCAAAAGUAUGACAAAAAGUUAGAAUUAGUUGAAAUUAAGCUUCACUUACACAUCGCCUCAUCACUUGAUCAGCACACCUCUUCCACAAAUAUGGGUCAUUUUAGAUAAAGUACUUGGCAUCGCUCUUCAAUUUAUCCCUCUUCGAUUUUGGCAAACUUGCAGGAAAAUUACUUGUUACUAGACAAUUGACUAAAUCGACAUACCAAGGCAAUUGAGAAUUUAGAGAAAAUAAAUGGUCUUCAGAGAAUGCAUCCUCCAACGGCUCGUUCUCCUUUCCAACAGGUAUACGACUCAAAUAGUCGGCUACUAAAUUCUCCGAGCCUCUCUUAUCUCUUAUCUCCAGAUCAAAUUCUUGCAGAAACAAGAUCCACCUUAUGAGCCUCGACUUUGCAUCUUUCUUGGUUAUUAGGUACCUUAGAGCUGCAUGAUCAGGAAAUACAAUAACUUUAGCACCCAAUAAAUAUGACCUAAACUUUUCCAAGGCGAAAAUAACAGCAAGAAGCUUCUUCUCAGUGGUGGAGUAAUUCAAUUGGGCCCCAUUUAAAACUCGAGAUGCAUAGUAAAUGACGUGAGCUGUCUUUCCUACUCUUUGCCCGAAUACAGCUCCUACAGCAUGAUCACUGGCAUCGCAUAUGAUCUCAAAUGACAAACUUCAGUCAGGAGGUUGAAUGAUCGGUGGCGAGGUCAAUAGCUCCUUUAACUUGUCGAAGGCUCUCUCACACUUGUCAUCGAAUUCAAAAGCCACAUCUUUUUGUAAAAGCUGGAAUAACGGGGCUCCCAUUUUCAAAAAAUCCUUGAUGAACCUUUGAUAAAAACCUGCAUGUCCAAGAAAAGAGCGCACCUCCCGCACACUAGCGAGGUAAGGUAAAGCAGAUAUAAUAUCUAUUUUCGCCCUGUCAACCUCGAUACCUUUAGAAGACACAAUAUGACCCAGAACUAUCCCAUGUUCAACCAUAAAAUGACAUUUCUCCCAAUUAAGCACGAGAUUAGUCUCUAUACAUCUCAACAAGAUCAAUCUCAGGUUAUCUAGACAUGUAUCAAAACUAUCACCAUACACACUGAAAUCGUCCAUGAAAACCUCAAUUAUUUUCUCAACAUAUUCAGAAAAAAUGCUUACCAUACAUCUCUGGAAAGUUGCAGGUGCAUUGUACAACCUGAAUGGCAUCCGUCUAUAUGCAAAGGUCCUGAACGGGCACGUGAAAGUCAUCUUCUCUUGACUCUUUGGUGCAAUUGCUAUUUGAAAAUACCCUGAAAAUCCAUCCAAAAAGCAAUAGUAAGUCCUAUAAGCUAAACGUUCAACCAUUUGGUCAAUGAAAGGGAGAGGAAAAUGGUCAUUUUUUGUGAUAGCGUUUAGCCUACGGUAGUCAAUACACUGCCUCCAUCCAGUGGGUUUGCGCACUGGUACGAGCUCACCCGUUUGGUUAGCCUCCACUGUCAUUCCUGCCUUUUUUGGAACUAUCUGGACCAGCCUCACCCAUGGGCUAUCCGAUAUCACGAAAAUGAUUCCCACAUCGAGCAACUUCAGAAUUUCUUUCUUCACCACUUCCAUCAUGAGGGGGUUAAACCUCCUUUGGCCUUGCCGUAUAGGUUUGGCAUUCUCUUUCAACCUAAUCCGGUGUAUGCAGAUGGAGGGGCUGAUCCCCUUGAUAUCGGUGAUAGUCCACCCUAUCGCCUCUUUAUACUCUUUAAGGACCCGAAUUAGUUUCUUCUCUUGGGUCUCCGAGAGUGCAGUUGAUAUAAUCACCGGGAGUGUUUCGUUGUCGCCCAGAUACGCAUAUUUCAAGUGCUUCAGCAAAGAUUUCAACUCCAACACAGGGGCCUGCACCACAGAUGGCAGUCCCCUCUAGUGAGGUUCGGGAAUGAAAAUUGGAGAGACUUCAUACAUUUUUGUUGUGGUUGGCAAUGAGUGUAGUGCCCCUAUUGUGCAUUUCAAGUCUUCACUCCACUCUACCUCAGGAGUUGUCUCCAACUCAAGGUGCUUGAUUAAAGCUAUUUCCAACUCAUCCUUACCAACAGUUUCAAACACUUCCUGCACCGCAGGGUCAAUAGCACUUACAGAAAAAACAGAGCUAAAGUUAGAGUUUGAUGGGUAUUUCAUCGUAUCAAAAAUACUAAAAUGCACAAUUUUUCCAUCAAAUUCCAUGAAUAGGGUGCCCUUAUUAACAUCAAUUUUUGUCUGCACUGUACUCAAGAAGGGUCUACCUAAUAGUAAAGGUGAGGGAUCGGGGGAGUGAUCAUCAUUCAUAUCAAGUACAUAAAAGUCAGUUGGGAAUACCAAAUCAUUAAUUUUUACCAAUAUAUCUUCAACUAACCCAUCAAGAUAUGCAUUUGUUCGGUCAGCUAAUUGAAUGAUUAUUCCAGUUUCUUUUAAUGGACCUAGUUUUAGAGAAGCAUAGAUAGAUUUGGGUAUGACAUUAAUUGAUGCUCCCAGAUUCAACAUGGCCUUCCUAAUCAAAGUGUUGCCUAUCUUACAUGGGAUAGUAAACAUACCUGGGUCUCCAUACUUUGGUGGGAGUUUUUUCUGCAAGACCACGGGCACGUUCUCCCCCACAAUGACCCUUUCAUCCCCCCUCAACCGCCUUCGGUUGACACACAAGUCCCUUAGAAACUUGGCAUAUUUCGGCACUUGUUUGAUUGCGUCUAAGAGGGGGAUAUUAAUCUCUACCUUGCAGAACACCUCUAGAAUUUCCUUCUCCUUAUCUUACUUUUUCGAUUUUUCCAACCUGGUAGGAAAGGGAGGCGGGUUAGUUUUUACUACAAUGAUUGGGUCUGGAAGUACCUCUGGAUUUGUACUAUUGUUGUCCUCCCUCUCAAACUCAUUUUCGAUCUUUUCCUCAUCCUUGUCCUUAGGGAUCACAGGCUCAGGCCCCUGAAUCUCCUUUCCGCUCCUUAGGGUCAUCACGCUUACAUUUUUCGGGUUCAAUUUAGGUUGAGAUGGCAAUUUACCUUGGACUUGGGACUCCAAACGGUUGAUUGUUGUGGCCAUUUGACUCAUCUGAUUUCUUAUGUUCUGCAUUUUGGAGUCCGUCCUUUGCUUAUAUUGCGCGGUGGUUGCUAUCAAUUGUUUCAUCAUCUCCUCCAAAGAUGGACUAGAGCUCGGGGGCGGAGGUGGUCGGGGUUGGUAUUGCUGCUGAUACCCUUGUUGUCUAUUUGGCACGAAAUUAGACUGUCUGUUCUCUCCAUAGUUGAGGUUGGGGUAAUCCCUCCAACCGGGGUUGUAGGUACUUGAAUAUGGGUCAUAGGGCUUCCUUGGCGCGAGCGCGUGUCCUGCCAUGUUCAUUUGCUCUGCACUUUUCUCUUGAAUCAUUGGGCACAUCUCUGUAGAAUGACCCAUGUCAGUGCAAAUUCCGCAUAUCAUGGUAUGAGAUGCAUUUCCUACAGCCAGUUGCCUAACAAAAGAAGUCAACUCAGUCAACUGUUGCUGGAUAGAGGAUGUUUCUACCUCGUUCACUUUGCGUAUCGAGACAUCCUCCCUCGUACCAAACUAUUGCGAGUUCUCAACCAUUCCUUCUAUUAGCUCCCACGCUGCUCGAGGGGUCUUGUUCACCAGUGCCCCUCCACUCGCAGUAUCAAUUAUGCUCCUGUCUCUGAAAAGUAGCCCCUCGUAAAAAUAUUGUAUGAGCAACUACUCACUUAUUUGAUGCUGGGGACACUUGAUGCACAAUUUCAAAAACGCUCUCAGUAAUCAUAGAGCGAUUCUUCUGGAUGCUGCUUGAUACUGCAAAUUUCUUUUCUUAGACUUGCAGCUCUGAAAGCAGGAAAAUACUUAUCUAAGAACUUUUUCUUUAGCUGGUCUCACGUGGUGAUACUACCGGUAGUAGGUAGUACAGCUAGUCCUUUGCAGAGUUCUUCAAGGAAAAGGGGAAUGCCCUCAUUUUUAUUUGCUCUUCUGUGAUUUUCAGGGGUUUCAUACUGUUGCACAUGACAUCAAAUUCCUGCAAAUACUUAUAAAGCUCCUCACCUGGUAACCCAUGAAAAGAUGACAAAAGAUGAAUUAGCCCAGAUUUUAAUUCAAAUAGAGUGUUAUCACUCAAACUUGGAAAAGUAAUGCAUAAAGGUUGCUGAAUUAAAUCAGGAGCAGCCAACUCCCUUAAUAUCUGGGCAUUAGCCAUGGGGACUUCUUCUUGCUCCGAGUCACUCGAAGUGUCACCAAACGAAUCUGUUGAUUCAACUUCUGGCUUAGGUAUCUGAUAUGCAAUACUUGAAUGCUCUUCUCUGAGUUGUCUGGUCUCUUUUCUUGUUCUACGCGCGGUCUUCUCUACCUCAAGGUCAAAAAUUAAUUCACCUGUACGAGAAGAAUGAGGCAUACACUCGAACAGCACUAGAAAAUUAGAACAAAAAUAAAUUUAAAAAGAAAUAAAUAUUAACGCCAGAACUCGGCAACGACGCCAAAUAUUGACAGGUUGUCGGCCUAUGCAAUAAUAAAAUCUGCUCAAACUAAAAGUAAUUUCUGUAGAUAGCGGUGAGUAGGGUCAAAUCCACAGGGAUUGGGAGUAAUUGUUUCUUUUCAAAUUCAUAGUGACAAGGGGGUGUUUUUAUAUCAGGGGUGACAAUUUAAGCAAUUCAAUUAAAAGUAAAAUAAUAAAAAUAAAAUAGCCAACUAGAAAUUAAAUAACAAUUUACUAAAAUCAAAUGAGUGAUAAUUAAGGAUCUAACUAAGGAAUAAUUUCAGCAAUGGUUCACCUAAUUGAUCAUUGAAACAAAGGCAAUUCUAAUUAUUUACUAAUAAAUAGGUUAUAACUGCCAAACAAGCGAUGACAGUCAACCCCUCCUUACUGUGUCGGUAAUUAAGAUACACCCGUUAAUCACUACUCUAAUUGAGAAAUAAUCCUAAGUACGCCCGCAAGAUUUAAUUCCCCAAUUAUCUUACGUAUUAGAGGAGCCCUAUUCUAACCAAAUAACACACGACCAGGGUUAGAUUAACCCGCGUAUUCUCCUGACACAAACCCAAUCAUGCUAGUUAUCACUAUUUUGAGAAUUAAACAAUUACGGAUUUAACGUCUUAAUUGACAAUAAAUUAUCAAAUUAACUAAUUAUCCGAAUCCAAAAUAAUCAAUUAAUUAAAUAACCAUAAGUACUGUAAUCAAAGAAUAUGUAAAUACCAAUAAAUAAAAGAAAAAGAUAAAAUUAAAUCGAUUUCACAAUCUUUAGACAAAUCAAAACUUCCGUUGUUCCUUGAUUAGACAAAGGGAUUUAGCUCAUCCCUUGUCUACUCCUACCGAAAAGAAAAGAAAAGCAACUAAAGAUGAAAGGAAAAGUCAAAGGCUAAGCUCUCCCCCCUGACAUGCAUUGGAAGUAAAAGCUCUAAGAAGAAACCAAAAGGGCAAAGUUCCAAAAGCUAAAGUAGUCCUAAUCCUCUGCAACUCCCUAUCCUAUCAAAAGUCCUACUCUACUUAUUUAUUGUGCGGCGGCUUCAAUGCCUCCCGAAAACUUCGGCCUUUUUAGUUUUUUUUCCUUUCUUGCUGUCUUCGGCCAAAUUACCAAAAUGGGCUCACAUCUCCUCGUUUCAAAAAUGUCCCUGAAUGCCUUCUAUUUGAAUUCUUUCCCGAUGACUGUCAAAUUGGUGUUCGUUGUGGUAUUUUCAUUCUACUCUCUGAAAUAAAUGCAAAUUACAAAAAGUGAGUAGAAUCUAAUAAUUAAUUCACAUCGGGUUAGGUAAUAUAGGAAAUUAAUAAUAAAAUAAAUGAUAAAAUUGCAACCUAUCAAACAGAUAAGCGACGUGACAGAACAGAAAAAUAAAGUCCACGAUAACCUUAAAUUGGGGAAAACUGUCAAAAUAUUUGGUAAAUCACAAAGCUAACACUAAAUUGGGCCAUCUGCUCGAGUAUCGUAUCGUCAGCAAACAGUAGGACUGGUACUUUUGGUCCUUCAAAAUGACUUUCAAUUCUAAAGAUGCAAUUGUUGGAGAAGAACAGAGAGAACAUAUAUUGACUACAAAACACCAAGCAGGUGAAGUAAAUUCCAGAUUAAAGGCUAAUGGAAGCACGAAGAACUACCUGAACGAAUGGCUUUCAUUACAAUUUUCACAACAAAGCACAAGAAUUAGACACGAACAAACCACUUUGGCUGUGCCAGUUUAGCAUCAAAUUAUAUUUAUUCUUUUACCAUUUCAGAUCUUAUAUCAAAUGGCACAAGACAAAAAUUUUGACAGCAUUGAGCAUCAACUUCUUAUAUAGACAAUGACUAUCAGGCUAUCUUCCAGAUAACUUUCCUUUCCACUGACCGGCAAAAGAUGAGAGAGAGUGAAUAAGUAGAUGCUGCACAAACAUCUUUCAUAGCCAAUCCUAGAAGAGCAGAAGUUACGUGGAUAAUGCACAACUAGUACCGGCAACUUAUAAUCAAUGAUGUAGUUCGCCUUCUGAAGUGUUAGAAAACGACUUGUACAACAAACUAAUCAACGCACCAAAGCAGAAUCAUGGUAGAGGCAUCAUGGCAUCAUUAAACGUUAGUUUCACUUUCAAGCAUCAUUUGUCAUAGCCAUUUGCUGAGAGGUAGAGACCACUUUUCUGAGCUCACCCGUCCCAUUCCAACAAGUAUAUAUUAAUGAAUACUUCGUCAAGAUAUUCAUCCAGUUGGUAGUAUUCCUGCUUUUUGCUCAUUUCCAUUUUUCUCUAGCUGGCAGUUGAUCUAUGAGCCAGAAGUUAGGAUAUUUUUCUCUUCCAUCUAUUUCAUUGUAUUUUUUUCCCUUCUUGAAAGAACUUCUCUUCCCACUUUGAUCAGCAACUAACAAAUACUGGACCUUGAAAAUUUCGAAGUGUUGAUGCUGCUUAUUCUUACAAAAAUGCAACAGGAUCGCUGCUAGGAUAAAUCACAACAGAUGUGCCCAAGCCAAAGAAAUUGAUUCUAAGCUAGACUCAUAUUGAUAGAUUUGAGCCACCUGUUGAAGAUGCAGCUUACCAACUAAUUGCAAAUGGGACGUCAGAAUGCAUGCUAAGUCGGAUGAAGAACAUAGCAACAGCCUAAAUACUUAAAAUUUUCUGGUACAACAUCCUUUCAUCUAGUUUGAAAUUCCUCCACCCCCAGGAACUUUCAGCAUCUUUUCGCUGAAUCAGUGAUAUGGGAGAACAAGAAUCCAUGAAAAAUAUCUUCAAGCAAAUUAUUAUUAAAGAUUAAGUACACAGAAAAUAGUACUUAUUAGAACCAGAUUCUCAUGUUUGCCAAGCUGUCAUUAACUAUAUACACCUAUUCUACCCAACAAGGUUGCAAAAGCAAACAGCAUUCUUUGCAUUAAAAAAAAAAGGAAAAAAGAAAGUCUCAGGGCAUUCAGCCAUUUACUUCAAGAAAAGAAACCUACUCUGCAUUACUUAAGCUGAAAUGUAUAAAAGAAAUAAAAAUGUGUACUUGACAUUUAUGCUUGUGCUCAGCUGGUUUUAAGGAUCAUACCAAUUUGUAGCCAGAUUGAAGAGGAUUUUAGGAAUUAGAUAGUUUUGAUUUCAUAAACACAUGACCAUUCAAACCAAAGAAUUGAAAACCUCCAGAAGUUGGUUUGUGAAAUAUCAAUGAUUAUAUCAUUCAACUGAUCCAACAUAUACAAUUAGUCCUGUGGGAGUGGAUCUAACCUCAUGAGUGGAAUUCUUCUCUUCUUUGACCCCUUUUCUGAGUAGAUCUAAUAAUAACGCUCUUUAAGUCCUUGUUUCCCCAUUCUCUCUGUUCUUGCAGAAUUCGCUCCACAGAAUUUACAGCAGACUCACUACACCUUUUCACCUCAAUCAUUUUAAGAGUGAGGCUUUCCCCUAAACAAGGAGGGACCUCUUCCAGCUCCUCACAAAACUCCAAAACCAAUUUCUCAAGACAGGAAAAAUUAUCAGAAGACGCAGUCCACCUACGAAUGUACAACCCUGACAAUUUCAAAAAUCGGAGGUUACGGAAUUCCCCUUCUUCCAUCUCCCAUUCUUCCUCCCGAACGGAACGAUGGCAUAAUUUGAGCACUACAAGGUUGGGCAGAUUUCUUCCAAUUGCUGAAAUUUUUCCCCACGGCCAAUAAUUAUCCGAGAGAGUCAACUUUUUCAAAUUCAAAUUCAAUGAGAAUUCAAACUCAUCUCCGCUAAUCCUGCUUAUCUUAAGUGAUUCUAGUCGACUCAUGUAGUUCAGCAAGGGAAUCUCCUUGCGAUUUCCACCAGAUUCAACUGCUCGGUAACUUUUCCUUUGGAUUCCAUAUGUUAUUGUUAGCCUGCGGGUGCUCUGUAACUUUGCCAGUAUCUUCUGUGCACUUUGAGAAGAGAGAUCGAUUGCAAGGCUUAAAGUGUCUAAAUGUUUUAAAUCAGGGGAGCCUUCAAGAUUGUCCAUGGGAAAUAUGAAACCACAGUCGGACAAUGAUGUGACAAGAUACCUCAAUGUUUCAAUGUUCCAGAUAGUGUUUGGCAACAUAUAAUUUCUACGGCGUGCUUCUACUACAAAAGUUUCUAACCUUGAGAGGUUGGCUAUUGCAGAUGGGAUAUCCCCAACAAAACGUCCAAUUCUCAAGUACCUCAAGUGAAUAAGGAAUACUACUUCCCUUGGAAAAGAUGAAAUCCAAUAAGGAGUGUUCCAGAAAUCCAGCACUCUAAGAAGUUUAGACAGCAGAAAUUUGGAUGAAUUCUUAUCCAGCUGUGUAUAACUAUCACCACAGAAGAGCAAACACCGCAAAUUGGGAAAAAACAGCCUUGAUUUUGUAAGCCCCAUAGUCUUGGUAGGGUGGAUAGACAAUCGAUGGGGCUUGCAUGGUCCAGUAAAAGUUAAAAGGUUAUCCACACGUAAAAUCUGUAGAAAACUUUCUUCUUUAGCUUUCUCCAUGCAAAAUUCAUGUACCAAAUCAUGGAUUCGGCAAGCUUUGAUCCCACCUAAAGAUCUUUGUUGGGGAGCCAUAACUAAACUUCUCCCAAUCAGAUCCAUCAAAUAUUCAUCUGCCACAUCCUCUAAACACUUUCCUUCAGUCUUUUGCACGAAUCCUUCCGAGAUCCAAAUCCAUAACAACCUUCGAAUGGGAAUUUCUUUGUCUUCUUGAAAUGCACCGAAGUAAAGAAGACAUGGCUUCAAAUAAUUUGGUAAAUUAUUGUAACUUAGCUCAAUUGUCUUCAUGCAAUAUUCAUUGUCAACAUAAAUGCUGGAAGUUAAAUGUAUUACAACUUCUUCCCAGCAAUCUUGCUCGGUAGUAGUAAGAAUUCCGGCAACAAGGACAACUGUGAGAGGCAGGCCUUUACAGUAUUUUGCUGCAUGCAGUAAAACAUUGCUUAAUAUUGGGGGACAAUCUUCUUUGGCAAAUAGCUUUUUCUGCAGCAAUUCGCAGCUCUCAUUAUCUGUAAGCGGGCGAAGAUGGUGAGGCUCGCUAUCAAGUUUAAUUUGCAAUGGCAAUUCCUGAAAUCUGCUGGUUAAGAGAAUCCUGCUUCCAUUGCAAUCAUCUGGCAGUGAGAGUUUCAAUAAAUCCCACCCCAGAAUGUCCCAAACAUCAUCCAAAACUAUGAGAUACCUAUUUCCCUUCAACAAUUUGCGUAGCCUGUCAGCCAUAUAAUCUUCAUCUUUCCGAAUAUAUCCAGCUGAGUUCCCAUGAUCAAUAUUACACAACAUUUGAACUAACAAACUAUGCUUGGUAUAUGCUCGAGAAAAACAACACCAAGAACGAAUGUGAAAGUGGGACUUUACCAAAGGAUCACCAUAAACUUUAUUGGCUAAUGUUGUCUUACCAAGACCAGGCAUACCCACAAUGGCAACAAUAUCCAACCGGCUUGGUCCCCUUACAAGUCCAUCAAUUAUAAUUUCCCCCUCGUCAUUGAGACCCACCACAGCUUCAUUAGAUAUUGGAGCAGUAACUUGUGAUGGCAUGGGAAUGGUAGUCUUAACAAUACUCUGGGUUUCAUAGUCAAAUCGUAUGCUAUCAUAAAUCUUUUUGGCCUCAAUCUUCAUAAGCUUGACAUCUCCAGCAAUAACAUCCAAACAAUGUUGAUGUUUUCCACCAGGUAGUGUAGAGUCAAUGAUUAUCUCUGCCCUGUAUGCCAGCUCAAUAAUACGACUCCACAGAGCUUGGAGUUUUUCAUUCCGCUUUCACUGCUCUGCAAUCUUGCCUAGGAAAGGUCUUAAGAAAUCAAGAUCUUCACGAACUGUGUGGAUUUGAUUAUUUGGGAAAGCAAUUGAAUUAGCUGUAGAAUUUUCCAGUUCCUUGAGAGUUUCUAAAAGAAAAUCAAUAGAGCCCAGCUCAUUAGUCCUAGGGAAACUAAUUGAUGAUGAUGGUGGUUGUAGUGGACAAAUCUGUUCAAUUUCUGGAAUAAUGAGCUUGAGCAGUUCGAGCGAAUGAGAAGCCACAAGAUCUAUUUCCUUGGGCAAGCUUUCUGUCAUUUCACUCUUAUAAAGGGAGAAAAUCACAAUUCCAGCAUCACAGACCACAAAUCCAAUAAGAUCCUUCAUUUCAUCAUUUAGCUCAUCGAACUUCUCGUGCUGCUGGCUGAGAAGGACACUCAGGAAUCUUGCUCCCUCAUAGAGUUUUAGUAAUUGAUCCUUCACCGGAAGCAAGAAACUGGUGUAAGAUUCUGUUAGCUCCAUAAUAAUAUGUAAAAGAUGAUCAAUAAAUUCGGCCACUAGGUGCUUAUUCUUCUCCAGGGCUAAAGUGUGUGAUGAUGGUGACAACUUGGAAGCUGUCAAGACGUGGAUAUAAGUUUCUCGGACUUGGAGAUCAACGGGAUCAAUCUUCUUUUGUAUCAGUUGAGAAAUUUCAGAUUCCAUCUCAUUGCACACCCGUUCAUCAUUUCUCUGAAACCAAGAUGUAGAGAUCAGGCUUGCAGCAUUAAUGGCCACAACUUCAAUGUGAACUAACAGAUCUACUAAUUGCUGACCCUUAACACCUUGUAGUGUUGCAAAGCAAAUGAAACUCUUCAAGAACAUUAGCUUCUCUUGAAGGGUUCCCAUUACACUUUGCAGAGCUCCAUCAUCCCUGUAAUUUCUGGUGCAAAGACGCCUCAGAUUCUCUAAAAUGGAAUCAGUGAUAUCCAUAACCAGUUGCAAAUCUCCGAGCAAGUAGUGAAGCAAUAAACUACAGAUGUUGGAUUCCUUGAUGUCUGAAUCAAAAAUCAACCGCAUAUUUUCCUCGAAUCUGCCGAGCUUGCGUUUGAAGUCAUCAAGCGAUCUACGUCUACCACGAACAAAGCCAAGUUCAUGCUUUAUUCCACUAACCAGAUCUUGAAUCCUGAAGGAGAUACUGCUGAGCCUCAAACUGUCAGACUCAGCAUCACCCCUGUCCUCCUUAUCAUAUUCCAAACACGUAUACUCUUUGCUCCUCUUCCUCCUAAACUUUCUAAUAUACAGAUCAAAGGUUUCCAAUAGACUUAUCCCCAUCUUCAGCUCCCAGAUAUGAGAUUCGAACAGGCCUUUGUACCCACUGUUGAAGUAGUCCAGAUGAUUACGAGCAACAUCGAAGCAACUAGUGCUACUGCUGAAGGAGAUGUUCAUCAUGGUACCUGCUUUUCACUCAGAAAUGAGAUUUCUGCCUAUUGUAGCCAUUGAUAUUCAAGAUCAACAACUUUCUUAUUAUCUAACAAUAUUCACAGUUUGCCGUCAGGACUCUAUCUCUCUUUUUUUUUUUCAUUUUUUCUUUUUUGCGUGUGGCAGGGUGGUGCUAAAAUAUUGCAAGACUUUACCCUCUUCCUCUUGAGUCUUUGUCAAGGGAAGCUCGCAUCGAUACAACAGGCAUAAGCUGUUGGGGUCCCCAUAUCAAAGAUUAAAGCAUUAGAGAUGCAUUCAGCUGAGGCCUGAUGGCUUUGUAAUUUGCCACAACCUUUUUUAACGCAACAAUUUUUUACCACAAAACGUGAAAGGGAAAAAAAAUAAAUGAAAGAAAAUCAAUAUAUAGUAUUUUAGUUUCAAUCAAAUCCGAAUAUGGCCAGCACUAAAAAUGAACAAAAUGAGAAAUAUCAAUUAGAUUAGCGGUCAAAAUAAACAAUAGAAAAAUCAGAAGAAAAUGAUCCAUGGCUAUUGUUUAAGAAUGUAUAACUAAAUGCAUUUAAGGAUUUUAGAGAAAAUUGUUUUUUAAUUGCUAAUGUAUGUGAGUGUUGAUGUUUUAAUGCUUCUUUUUUUUAAUUUGGCAACUUUUCCAAAUUUAAAAAGUUGUAUAAUAAGAAUAAAUAUUUUACUCCUUUUCCCGUGUGAGAUAACUUGAGCCUGUAAACCAUCUAAAUCAUUUUUUCUUUUUUGGUUUUCUACAUGCACCGAGAAAUGGUUUAGUGUUUUUUUACAUAACCUUCCUAUGAUUUUAAAAGCCAUGACGCCCUUACAGUUUGGAUUAAAGUGUUAAAAUAACGGAAAUGAUCAUUAUAAUGGAAUCACCUAAAAUACCAAAAAUACCCUUAUGUAAAGUUAAAAUUUAUUUAUUAACCAAGAGGGUUAUAUAUAUUUUUUAAAAAUCAUAAGAGUGUUAUACGGUAAAGUAUUAAACUAUAAAGGAAUUAUAUAGUAAAAUAUAAAAAUUAUAUGGGGUUAGUGUGUCAUGUAUUUAUAAGGGUAAUUUCGACAUUUUUAAAAGUUAUGAAUGACUAUUUCAGUUAGUUUGACACUUUAAUUCAAACCAUGAGAGAAUUAUGUAUAGUUUUGAAAUUAUAGAGGGAUUAUGUUUUUUUUUUUUUUGAAUCAGAAACUCUACAUACGUGCGAUAUUAUUUUCUCAGUAACAGCUCUUAACCAAAAUACAUAAUCAUUACAAAAUACUCGAGAAAUUUAAUUCUGCAAGCACUAGCUUAGUCCUCAUACCAUAAAACCAAGAAAAAAAAAAGAUAAAAUUGGAAUUUAGUUAUAAGAAUUUCUAAAUUUGGAGAUCAUAUAUGCAAUCUUGUCUAGUAGUUUAGAUGCACUUUCCUCUCCCAUUGAGAAAGGAUUGGUCCAUUCUUGGUAGUGAUGGAGGCUGCCUGUAAAGUCCGUGAAAAGCCCGUCAACUCCAAUCUUCUUGAUCCAGUACUCGUACUCAUUAUAUGGAUCUUGACUGAAGUUAAAAUGUAAGGACAUAUUAUCAUUCUGGAAAAUGAAUGGGUGCACCUGAAGGUUGUAAGCAUGUGAUCUUGUAACAAGAUCAGUAGGUGUUUGCAGAUAAUUAUUUGAAGCAGGAACUAUUGAAUCUUUCCAAGGUCCAAUGCCCACGACAUAAUCUUUGAUGAAGUCAAAGUAACUGUUGGAAGUGAUUUCCCAGUAUGACUGAUUGGUGUCUUGAGUAGGUGUAGUGGCAUCAUCAAUUAGGAGGAUCUUAGGCAGGUCUGUCAGGUGUGAGAUGUAAAUCAAAGAUGUUGGAGCAAAAGACUGAAUAAAUGCAGGCUGUUUCAACCAUUGUUUUGACAAAUAAGUUCCCUUGUAUCCAUACUUCUUCAAUGUAUCCACAAACUUGUCUUCAAAUUUCUUACCAAUUGGCCAUUUCACAUGUUGGUUGAUAAAUACUGGAUUUUUUAUCUCUGGAUAUAUCCCCACCACCCUG
This 18029-nucleotide long non-coding RNA is filed under the name Coffea arabica (coffee). RNAcentral's name for it is "long non-coding RNA (CARA_LNC007322)". The stretch from base 8246 to 8351 matches the Rfam family "Plant small nucleolar RNA R71". The record is from RNAcentral. Lineage: Eukaryota; Viridiplantae; Streptophyta; Magnoliopsida; Gentianales; Rubiaceae.